UUCUCAGUUAUAUCUGUCCUCCACUCCCACCUUUUUUUUUUUGUUUUUUUAAUCUUCCCCUAUUAAUCCAGAGUUGUCCAUUGACUCAGCCCCAGUUUGA
Molecule: long non-coding RNA, 100 nt
Filed under: Apteryx haastii (Great spotted kiwi)
Lineage: Eukaryota; Metazoa; Chordata; Aves; Apterygiformes; Apterygidae
Description: lncRNA (ENSAHAG00000018571.1)
Source: RNAcentral